Molecule: ribosomal RNA, 1450 nt
Filed under: uncultured organism
Description: SSU rRNA
Rfam family: Bacterial small subunit ribosomal RNA
Source: RNAcentral
CAGGCUUAACACAUGCAAGUCGAGGGGCACCAUUUUACUUAGCUUGUCAACUAGAGAUGGCAACCGGCGCACGGGUGACUAACACGUAUCCCACCUGCCGAUAAGCUCUCGGAUAGCCUUAUCAAAAGAAAGAUUAAUAUGCGAUAGUAUAUUAAAACCGCAUGGUUUUACGAUUAAAGAAUUUCGGCUAUCGAGGGGGAUGCUUUCCAUUAGUUUGAUGGCGGGGUAACGGCCCACCAAGACUACGAUGGAUAGAGGUUCUGACAAGAAGGUCCCCCGCAUUGGAACUGAGACACUGACCACAACUCCUACAGUACGCAGCAAUGAGGAAUAUUGGUCAAUGGACCAGAGUCUGAACCACCCAAGUAGCGUGAACGAUGACUGCCCUAUGGGUUGCAAACUUCUUUUAUAUGGCAAUAAAGUAUACCACGUGAGGGAUUUUGUAUGUACCAUAUGAAUAAGGAUCGGCUAACUCCGUGCCAGCAUCCGCGGUAAUACGGAGGAUCCGAGCGUUAUCGCGGAUUUAUUGAGUUUAAAGGGAGCGUAUGUGGAUAGUUAAAUCACUUGUGAUAGUUUGCGGCUCAACCGUAAAAUUGCAGUUGAAACUGGCAGUCUUGAGUACAGUAGAGGUGGGCGGAAUUCGUGGUGUAGCGGUGAAAUGCUUAGAUAUCACGAAGAACUCCGAUUGCGAAGGCAGCUCACUAGACUGCAACUGACACUGAUGCUCGAAAGUGUGGGUAUCAAACAGGAUUAGAUACCCUGGUAGUCCACACAGUAAACGAUGAAUACUCGCUGUUUGCGAUAUACAGUAAGCGGCCAAGCGAAAGCAUUAAGUAUUCCACCUGGGGAGUACGCCGGCAACGGUGAAACUCAAAGGAAUUGAUGGGGGCCCGCACAAGCGGAGGAACAUGUGGUUUAAUUCGAUGAUACGCGAGGAACCUUACCCGGGCUUAAAUUGCAAAUGAAUAAUCUGGAAACAGGUUAGCCGCAAGGCAUUUGUGAAGGUGCUGCAUGGUUGUCGUCAGCUCGUGCCGUGAGGUGUCGGCUUAAGUGCCAUAACGAGCGCAACCCUUAUCUUUAGUUACUAACAGGUUAUGCUGAGGACUCUAGAGAGACUGCCGUCGUAAGAUGUGAGGAAGGUGGGGAUGACGUCAAAUCAGCACGGCCCUUACGUCCGGGGCUACACACGUGUUACAAUGGGGGGUACAGAAGGCAGCUACCUGGUGACAGGAUGCUAAUCCCAAAAACCUCUCUCAGUUCGGAUCGAAGUCUGCAACCCGACUUCGUGAAGCUGGAUUCGCUAGUAAUCGCGCAUCAGCCAUGGCGCGGUGAAUACGUUCCCGGGCCUUGUACACACCGCCCGUCAAGCCAUGAAAGCCGGGGGUACCUGAAGUACGUAACCGCAAGGAGCGUCCUAGGGUAAAACUGGUAAUUGGGGCUAAGUCAUAAC